AAGGUUAGGGUUGUAGGGGUACAGGGCUAUAGGUUAUAGGGUCAGGGUCAAGGUUAGGGUUGUAGAGGUACAGGGUUAUAGGGUUAUAAGUUAUAGGGUCAGGGUUGGGGUUAUAGGGUCAGGGUCAAGGUUAGGGUUGGGGUUGUAGUGGUACAGGGUUAUAGGGUUAUAGGUUAUAGAGUCAGGGUCAAGGUUAGGGUUGGGGUUGUAGGGAUACAGGCUUAUAGGGUUAUAGGAUUAUAGGGUUAUAGCAUGAAGUUUAGGGUUAGGGUUGUAAGGGUAUAGGGUUAUAGGGUUAUAGGGUCAGGGUCAAGGUUAGGGUUGGGGUUGUAGGAGUACAGGCUUAUAGGGUUUGGAUUAUAGGAUUAGGGUUAUAGGGUCAGUGUUAUGGGGUUGUAGAGGCACAGGAUUAUAGGGUUAUAGGGUCAGGGCUAUAGGGUCAGGUCUAUAGGGUUGUAGAGGCAUAGGAUUAUAGGGUUACAGGGUCAGGGUUAUGGGGUUACAGAGGCACAGGAUUAUAGGGUUAUGGGGUCAGGGUUAUGGGGUUGUAGAGGCACAGGAUUAUAGGGUUAUAGGGUCAGGGUUAUGGGGUUGUAGAGGCACAGGAUUCUAG
RNAcentral lists this long non-coding RNA (613 nucleotides) under Numida meleagris (helmeted guineafowl). RNAcentral's name for it is "lncRNA (ENSNMEG00000006521.1)". Lineage: Eukaryota; Metazoa; Chordata; Aves; Galliformes; Numididae. The record is from RNAcentral.